Molecule: long non-coding RNA, 454 nt
Organism: Drosophila pseudoobscura
Lineage: Eukaryota; Metazoa; Arthropoda; Insecta; Diptera; Drosophilidae
Exons: 2
Source: RefSeq, a predicted model, not a curated record
AACUAGAGCUCAUCAGCACUCAACACAGUAACCCAUUGAAGCAAUAAAUCAAAUGAAAUAAACAACCUGUAUUUAAAUUUAUGUCAUGGCAAUGUUUCGAGGAUAUUGCCAUACUUUCGUACACAUCAUUUACAUACAGGGAUAUUCAAAUCAACAUUUAUCCAGAGGAAAAGCGAACCAAAUCAAACACAAAAUCAAAUUCCACGGCGGAUUGUUAGAGUCGCAGAUGAGACGGAAUGAAAUGUGUCAGGACAUCAAUUAAUGAAUUUGCGACAGGGACAGCGACAGGGACGGCGACAGGGACAGCGACAGAGACGGCGACAGAGCCAGCGACCAUAUUGUCAAUCAUAAUUAUUGAUUGUCCAUUACGACUUUAAUUUAUUCAUGCCGGACCGAAAGUGUUCGUGCUGAAAGGCGAUAAAGAAUCGAUUAAAAUGUUUGUUGGGGACAUCCA